This 429-nucleotide ribosomal RNA is filed under the name Acidobacteriota bacterium. RNAcentral's name for it is "Acidobacteria bacterium partial 16S ribosomal RNA". It matches the Rfam family "Bacterial small subunit ribosomal RNA", at positions 355 to 776 of the family's 1533-position model. Lineage: Bacteria; Pseudomonadati; Acidobacteriota. The record is from RNAcentral.
UGGGGAAUUUUGGACAAUGGGGGAAACCCUGAUCCAGCCAUCCCGCGUGUGCGAUGAAGGCCUUCGGGUUGUAAAGCACUUUUGGCAGGAAAGAAACGUUAUGGGUUAAUACCCCGUGAAACUGACGGUACCUGCAGAAUAAGCACCGGCUAACUACGUGCCAGCAGCCGCGGUAAUACGUAGGGUGCAAGCGUUAAUCGGAAUUACUGGGCGUAAAGCGUGCGCAGGCGGUUCGGAAAGAAAGAUGUGAAAUCCCGGGGCUCAACUUUGGACCUGCAUUUUGAACUGCCGGGCUAGAGUGUGUCAGAGGGAGGUGGAAUUCCGCGUGUAGCAGUGAAAUGCGUAGAUAUGCGGAGGAACACCGGUGGCGAAGGCGGCCUCCUGGGAUAACACUGACACUCAUGCACGAAAGCGUGGGGAGCAAACAGG